This is an RNA transcript of Bacillus rossius redtenbacheri, 972 nucleotides long. It is a transcript of the gene named SET domain-containing protein 9-like, with no coding region annotated. NCBI's taxonomy places the organism in Eukaryota, Metazoa, Arthropoda, Insecta, Phasmatodea, Bacillidae. The transcript has 6 exons. The record is from RefSeq and is a predicted model, not a curated record.
AAAAACAAAGAGGGUUUGUUUGAAAAAUGUGAAAGAAUAGCAAAAUCAUGUGGAAGGGUUACAGACAAAGAUUUGUCCCUUGGAUAAUGUUAAAUCUAAGUAAAAGGGCAAGAAGAAUUGUAAAUCCUGGAAAUGACAAGAUUAUAGAAGACAAACGUGUUUUAGCAACGCUGCUAAACCUGCUCCCACAUUUGUAUAAUAAACAUUCAAAUGUUGGUCCAUGUGUGGCAUCGAAAAACAUGGAGGUACGUAGUGCCGACUUAUGACUGGAGUACGCAAGCAUCCACAUUUCCAAAAAGUCAUAAAAUUAAGCCUGUGAAGGAACAAUGAUGGAAUUGACUGUAGGGAAAAAUGAUAGUCCGUUCGAGAAAACUUACCAUACUCUGAAAACACCAGCCAAAUUUCCCACUUUGGAAAUCCUAUACUGACCAGCCAUGGAUGAAUCAGAAUCAUAAGCCAUCUUAAUAGGAGGUACAAUAUAUAAAUUUAUGGAGCCUAUAUUUUUCCCAUCCUUGGGAAAUAAGUUUGUUUUUCGAUGCCUUGAUAGAUUACACAUUGAUGGCAAUGAUAGGGGCUUAUCGAAGAUUAUUUACAAAUCGUGUGUUGGGCGUGACUCUGCAUGGCCGUACGAAGCUGCAGAUACCACCUGGCUGACGGGUGCCGCUGUUGUGCCCUGGAACAUUGGCCAGUACGUCAACAAUCAAACAACAGGUUCUGAUGCUAAUGUAGCAUACCAGGAGCUGAAUAUUUCUUUGCGUGACGUGCCACCGGCAUUGCAUUGUUUCCUGCCCAACAUUUGGUACAGUGGCGGUGCGGAAGGAAGUCUACGCCUAAUAGCACUCGUUUCUACCAGAAAUAUUUCAAAAGGGGAGGAAGUGUUGUCCAACUACUACACGCUUGUCGCUGAUACAAAGAGCUGAUGUUCUGCUGUAAAAAAUUUUGUAAAUAAAUAGAGUAUCUUUUGUUUUACUA